This 253-nucleotide ribosomal RNA is filed under the name uncultured bacterium. Its description in RNAcentral is "partial 16S ribosomal RNA". It matches the Rfam family "Bacterial small subunit ribosomal RNA", at positions 524 to 776 of the family's 1533-position model. The record is from RNAcentral.
UACAGAGGUCUCAAGCGUUGUUCGGAUUCAUUGGGCGUAAAGGGUGCGUAGGCGGCGCGGUAAGUCGGGUGUGAAAUCUUGGAGCUUAACUCCGAAACUGCAUUCGAUACUGCCGUGCUUGAGGACUGGAGAGGAGACUGGAAUUUACGGUGUAGCGGUGAAAUGCGUAGAUAUCGGAAGGAACGCCGGUGGCGAAAGCGGCGCGCUGGACCCUUACUGACGCUGAUGCGCGAAAGCCAGGGGAGCAAACGGG